RNAcentral lists this ribosomal RNA (468 nucleotides) under Triticum aestivum (bread wheat). RNAcentral describes it as "partial small subunit ribosomal RNA". The record is from RNAcentral. Lineage: Eukaryota; Viridiplantae; Streptophyta; Magnoliopsida; Poales; Poaceae.
AUGCUCAGGAAUGCCACAUGGACACUCUCCAACUUCUGCCGUGGGAAACCACAACCAAACUUUGAACAGGUCAAACCGGCUCUCUCAGCACUGCAGCGCCUUAUCCACUCUCAGGAUGAGGAGGUGCUCACUGAUGCCUGCUGGGCUCUCUCGUACCUGUCUGAUGGUACUAAUGACAAAAUCCAAUCGGUGAUUGAGUCUGGUGUUUUUCCUCGCCUUGUGGAGCUUCUCUUGCACCCUUCGGCUUCUGUUCUCAUUCCAGCUCUGCGCACGGUGGGUAACAUUGUCACUGGUGAUGAUUUGCAGACUCAGUGCUGGUUCAUGGAAUGUAUGAUUCUUAGAUGUGUUUUGUUGAAUAGUAGCUCAUUUAUUUAUCUUUGUUGGUCCCUCUCUUUUCAUAAUUUAGAUGAGCUGUUUAACAAUUCCUUUUCCUGGCUACACGAGUACAGCAUGCAUGCGUCUAAGUAG